GUGUAGCUUAGUGGUAGAGUGCUUGCCUAGCAUGCAUGAGGACCUGGGUUCGAUUCCUCGGUACCACA
This 68-nucleotide transfer RNA is filed under the name Dipodomys ordii (Ord's kangaroo rat). It matches the Rfam family "tRNA". From Rfam's summary of the family: Transfer RNA (tRNA) molecules are approximately 80 nucleotides in length. Their secondary structure includes four short double-helical elements and three loops (D, anti-codon, and T loops). Further hydrogen bonds mediate the characteristic L-shaped molecular structure. tRNAs have two regions of fundamental functional importance: the anti-codon, which is responsible for specific mRNA codon recognition, and the 3' end, to which the tRNAs corresponding amino acid is attached (by aminoacyl-tRNA synthetases). tRNAs cope with the degeneracy of the genetic code in two manners: having more than one tRNA (with a specific anti-codon) for a particular amino acid; and 'wobble' base-pairing, i.e. permitting non-standard base-pairing at the 3rd anti-codon position. Lineage: Eukaryota; Metazoa; Chordata; Mammalia; Rodentia; Heteromyidae. The record is from Rfam by way of RNAcentral.